Molecule: RNase P RNA, 401 nt
Filed under: Nitrospinaceae bacterium
Lineage: Bacteria; Pseudomonadati; Nitrospinota; Nitrospinia; Nitrospinales; Nitrospinaceae
Description: RNase P RNA component class A
Rfam family: Bacterial RNase P class A
About the family: Ribonuclease P (RNase P) is a ubiquitous endoribonuclease, found in archaea, bacteria and eukarya as well as chloroplasts and mitochondria. Its best characterised activity is the generation of mature 5'-ends of tRNAs by cleaving the 5'-leader elements of precursor-tRNAs.
Source: RNAcentral
GAAGUAAACCGGGUGGUCGCCGUUCCGGCUUCGGCCGGAAGGGAGGAAAGUCCGGGCUCCACAGGGCAGGAUGCUCGGUAACCCCGAGUGAGGGUGACCUCAAGGAAAGUGCCACAGAAAACAGACAGCCUACCCGGCGGAAGGUUUCUUCCGCCGGCGGCGAUGGUGAAACGGNNGAUGGUGAAACGGUGAGGUAAGAGCUCACCAGUGCUGCUGGUGACAGCGGCAGCUCGGCAAACCCUAUCCGGAGCAAGGUCAAAUAGGAAAGCGCUUGAGGAUGGCCCGUCCGAUGCUUUCGGGUUGACCGCUCGAGCCUGUCGGCAACGGCAGGCCUAGAUUGAUGACCGCCCCUUCUCCCCUCGGGGAAAAGGACAGAACCCGGCUUAUGGUUUACUUCGGAU